AGAGUUUGAUCCUGGCUCAGAAGGAACCUUGGCGGCGUGCCUAACACAUGCAAGUCGUACGAGAAAAUCCGCUUCGGCGGGUGAGUAAAGUGGCGCACGGGUGAGUAACGCGUGAAUAAUCUGCCUUUAAGCGGGGAAUAACUUACCGAAAGGUGGGGCUAAUACCCCAUAAAGCUAUGGAGCUCCGGUUUUCAUAGCCAAAGAGAGCCUCUGCAUGCAAGCCCUCACUUAGAGAUGAGUCCGCGUACCAUUAGCUAGUUGGUGGGGUAAUGGCCUACCAAGGCGACGAUGGUUAGCUGGUCUGAGAGGAUGAUCAGCCACACUGGAACUGAGACACGGUCCAGACUCCUACGGGAGGCAGCAGUGAGGAAUAUUGCGCAAUGGGGGCAACCCUGACGCAGCAACGCCGCGUGAGUGAGGAAGGUUUUCGGAUCGUAAAGCUCUGUCGGGUGGGAAGAAAUGUAUGGAGGUUAACAGCCUUUGUACUUGACGGUACCGCCAAAGGAAGCACCGGCUAACUCCGUGCCAGCAGCCGCGGUAAUACGGGGGGUGCUAGCGUUGUUCGGAAUCAUUGGGCGUAAAGAGCGUGUAGGCGGCUAGGCAAGUCAGAUGUGAAAUCCCUGGGCUUAACCCAGGACGUGCAUUUGAAACUGCUUGGCUUGAGUAGGGAAGAGGGAAGUGGAAUUCCUGGUGUAGAGGUGAAAUUCGUAGAUAUCAGGAGGAACACCGGUGGCGAAGGCGACUUCCUGGUCCUAUACUGACGCUGAGACGCGAGAGCGUGGGGAGCAGACAGGAUUAGAUACCCUGGUAGUCCACGCCGUAAA
RNAcentral lists this ribosomal RNA (824 nucleotides) under uncultured bacterium. RNAcentral's name for it is "bacterial SSU rRNA". It matches the Rfam family "Bacterial small subunit ribosomal RNA", at positions 8 to 806 of the family's 1533-position model. The record is from RNAcentral.